GUGGAAGCUUCCUAAAACAGACCGAGACACACAACAAAUUUACACCACUGACCUGUUCAGAGACCUUAAGCUUUUGUUUCAACUGUCCAAUUUUUUAAAGUACACAUAAAAUUAGAAGAAUACUAAGAUACUUAAGAAUAGGAUGAAUACCAUGAGAAUUAAUGAUAACAAAAUUAAACAGCUCUUUUGGAAUUCUUAGAAGGAAAACUAAAUCCAAGAAUUUUUUUCCUAAUUACUGCUUUGGGCAUACACUAAUUCAGUCCUAAUCUAUGCGGUUCAGGGUUCUCUCGUGAAGUAACCACUUUUUUUCAGUCUUUUUAUUUUUAAAAAGUAAAAAAUAUUUUGGCCUUGUAGCAUGCUGGACGUUAGUUCCCUGUCUAGGGGUGGACCCCGUGCCCCGCGGCAGUGGAAGCGUGCAGUCUUAGCCAUUGGGCUGCCAGGGAAGGCCCAUCUCAGUCGUUUCACAUUUCUGUGGGAGUUUCUUCAGAACUCUUAAGUGAACCCAGCUGACCUUGCCUUCCUUUAAACACAAAGGUGGUACAUCCCAGUUGUAGCUACCCUGUUUCCAUCCGUUCCUGCCGUCACCCUUUCUCCUGCCUCAAUGUGAGUUCUAAUCUCCGUAAGAAGUUUUCAGGGCCCAAAGCCACAGCAUCUGCGUCAUCAUGCGGACUUCCUGAUUUUCUGGGUGUUAUUGUUACCUUCUAGGGUUAGUUGUAUUAUCCUGAAGGAACUGUGUUUUGUUCAUGAGGCAUGUGGGAUCAUAGUUGCCUGACCAACAACUGAACCCGUACCGCCUGCAAUGGAAGGCAAAGUCUGAACCACUGGACCACCAGCAAGUUCCUGAGUAUAUAUUUAAAAAAAAUUUUCUUACUGUGACUGAGACUGAACAUCGUUUCAGGCAUCUGAGUCAUUUGAAUUACCCUUUUUGUGAACUGUUCUUUCCUUUUGUUCAUUUUUGGUUGACCUUAUUUUUUGUUGAUAUUUAGGCGGUCUGUGCCUAUUAAAUGACAUCAAUAUACGUGUACCUUACAUGUACAUAUAUUGAUAUGUGUAUUAAGAUAUGUGUACCUUAUUGACUAUGAGGUACACAUAUUUUUACUGGUAUGCCUACACUUUUUCUCUCUGCAUAAUUUUUUGGCCAAAUACUUUAUUUUUAUUUCUUUAUUUAACUGAAGCAUAGUUGACUUACAAUGUUGUGUUAAUGUCUAUUGCACAGCAAAGUGAUUCAGUUACAUGUAUACAUAUGUUCUUUUUUAUAUUCUUUUCCAUUCUG
Molecule: long non-coding RNA, 1273 nt
Organism: Bos taurus (domestic cattle)
Lineage: Eukaryota; Metazoa; Chordata; Mammalia; Artiodactyla; Bovidae
Source: Ensembl